This 324-nucleotide ribosomal RNA is filed under the name uncultured eukaryote. RNAcentral's name for it is "partial 18S ribosomal RNA". It matches the Rfam family "Eukaryotic small subunit ribosomal RNA", at positions 1470 to 1796 of the family's 1831-position model. The record is from RNAcentral.
CCCUUAGAUGUUCUGGGCUGCACGCGCGCUACACUGAAGCUAUCAACACGUUUUCCCUCCCUGAGAAGGGCGGGUAACCUUUUGAAUCAGCUUCGUGGUAGGGAUCGGGGCUUGCAAUUGUUCCCCGUGAACCAGGAAUUCCUAGUAGACGCGAGUCAUAAGCUCGCAUCGAUUAAGUCCCUGCCCUUUGUACGCACCGCCCGUCGCUACUACCGAUUGAACGUUUUAGUGAGGCAUUUGGACCGACGCAUCUCAGUUUAACCGCUGGUUUGUGUUGGAAAGACUUCCAAACUUGAGCGUUUAGAGGAAGUAAAAGUCGUAACA